Molecule: ribosomal RNA, 499 nt
Filed under: uncultured bacterium
Lineage: Bacteria
Description: bacterial SSU rRNA
Rfam family: Bacterial small subunit ribosomal RNA
Source: RNAcentral
CUCAGGACGAACGCUGGCGGCGUGCCUAACACAUGCAAGUCGAACGAAGCAUCUGGAGCUGAUUCUUCGGAAUGACGCACCUUAUGACUGAGUGGCGGACGGGUGAGUAACACGUGAGCAACCUGCCCUUCGGUGAGGAAUAGCAGCUGGAAACGGCUGGUAAUACCUCAUAACAUAGUCCAUCCGCAUGUUUGGACUAUCAAAGAUUUAUCGCCGAAGGAUGGGCUCGCGUCCGAUUAGGUAGUUGGUGAGGUAACGGCCCACCAAGCCGACGAUCGGUAGCCGGACUGAGAGGUUGAUCGGCCACAUUGGGACUGAGACACGGCCCAGACUCCUACGGGAGGCAGCAGUGGGGGAUAUUGCACAAUGGGCGCAAGCCUGAUGCAGCAACGCCGCGUGCGGGAAGACGGCCUUCGGGUUGUAAACCGCUGUCCUUAGUGAAGAACACAAUGACGGUAGCUAUGGAGGAAGCCACGGCUAACUACGUGCCAGCAGCGGC